This 68-nucleotide transfer RNA is filed under the name Neocaridina koreana. Its description in RNAcentral is "Neocaridina heteropoda koreana tRNA-Tyr". It matches the Rfam family "tRNA". From Rfam's summary of the family: Transfer RNA (tRNA) molecules are approximately 80 nucleotides in length. Their secondary structure includes four short double-helical elements and three loops (D, anti-codon, and T loops). The record is from RNAcentral. Lineage: Eukaryota; Metazoa; Arthropoda; Malacostraca; Decapoda; Atyidae.
GGUUGGAUGGCUGAGCAUGAAAAGCGAUAAAUUGUAAAUUUAUAAACGGAAUAAAGUUCCUUCAACUA